Molecule: ribosomal RNA, 515 nt
Filed under: uncultured bacterium
Lineage: Bacteria
Description: bacterial SSU rRNA
Rfam family: Bacterial small subunit ribosomal RNA
Source: RNAcentral
GACGAACGCUGGCGGCGUGCCUAAUACAUGCAAGUCGAGCGAACUUUUAAAAGCUUGCUUUUAAAAGUUAGCGGCGGACGGGUGAGUAACACGUGGGCAACCUGCCUGUAAGACUGGGAUAACUUCGGGAAACCGGAGCUAAUACCGGAUAAUGCUUCUCCUCUCAUGAGGGGAAACUGAAAGAUGGUUUACGCUAUCACUUACAGAUGGGCCCGCGGCGCAUUAGCUAGUUGGUGAGGUAACGGCUCACCAAGGCGACGAUGCGUAGCCGACCUGAGAGGGUGAUCGGCCACACUGGGACUGAGACACGGCCCAGACUCCUACGGGAGGCAGCAGUAGGGAAUCUUCCGCAAUGGACGAAAGUCUGACGGAGCAACGCCGCGUGAGUGAUGAAGGUUUUCGGAUCGUAAAACUCUGUUGUUAGGGAAGAACAAGUACCGGAGUAACUGCCGGUACCUUGACGGUACCUAACCAGAAAGCCACGGCUAACUACGUGCCAGCAGCCGCCGUAAAAC